CCAGCAUGAGUUAUGUCAUGUUAUCGAUAUGUGAAUACAUAGCAUAUCAGAAGGCACACCCGGAGAACUGAAACAUCUUAGUACCCGGAGGAAGAGAAAGAAAAUUCGAUUCCCUUAGUAGCGGCGAGCGAAACGGGAAGAGCCCAAACCAACAAGCUUGCUUGUUGGGGUUGUAGGACACUCUAUACGGAGUUACAAAGGACGACAUUAGACGAAUCAUCUGGAAAGAUGAAUCAAAGAAGGUAAUAAUCCUGUAGUCGAAAAUGUUGUCUCUCUUGAGUGGAUCCUGAGUACGACGGAGCACGUGAAAUUCCGUCGGAAUCUGGGAGGACCAUCUCCUAAGGCUAAAUACUCUCUAGUGACCGAUAGUGAACCAGUACCGUGAGGGAAAGGUGAAAAGCACCCCGGAAGGGGAGUGAAAUAGAACCUGAAACCGUGUGCUUACAAGUAGUCAGAGCCCGUUAAUGGGUGAUGGCGUGCCUUUUGUAGAAUGAACCGGCGAGUUACGAUUUGAUGCAAGGUUAAGCAGUAAAUGUGGAGCCGUAGCGAAAGCGAGUCUGAAUAGGGCGUUUAGUAUUUGGUCGUAGACCCGAAACCAGGUGAUCUACCCUUGGUCAGGUUGAAGUUCAGGUAACACUGAAUGGAGGACCGAACCGACUUACGUUGAAAAGUGAGCGGAUGAACUGAGGGUAGCGGAGAAAUUCCAAUCGAACCUGGAGAUAGCUGGUUCUCUCCGAAAUAGCUUUAGGGCUAGCCUCAAGUGAUGAUUAUUGGAGGUAGAGCACUGUUUGGACGAGGGGCCCCUCUCGGGUUACCGAAUUCAGACAAACUCCGAAUGCCAAUUAAUUUAACUUGGGAGUC
Molecule: ribosomal RNA, 861 nt
Filed under: Staphylococcus aureus
Lineage: Bacteria; Bacillati; Bacillota; Bacilli; Caryophanales; Staphylococcaceae
Description: partial 23S ribosomal RNA
Rfam family: Bacterial large subunit ribosomal RNA
Source: RNAcentral